UACGGAGGAUGCGAGCGUUAUCCGGAUUUAUUGGGUUUAAAGGGUGCGCAGGCGGGAGCUUAAGUCAGUGGUGAAAUGUGGAAGCUUAACUUCCAAGCUGCCAUUGAAACUGUGUUCCUUGAGUGCGGAUGAAGUAGGCGGAAUUCGUUGUGUAGCGGUGACAUGCUUAGAUAUAACGAGGAACUCCGAUUGCGUAGGCAGCUUACUAAGCCGUAACUGACGCUCAAGCACGAAAGCGUGGGUAUCAAACAGG
Molecule: ribosomal RNA, 253 nt
Filed under: uncultured bacterium
Lineage: Bacteria
Description: partial 16S ribosomal RNA
Rfam family: Bacterial small subunit ribosomal RNA
Source: RNAcentral